GGCCUGAUGGUCUAGUGGCAUGAUGCUCGCUUUGGGUGCGAGAGGCUCCAGGUUCGAUUCCCGGUCAGGCCC
Molecule: transfer RNA, 72 nt
Filed under: Candidatus Moraniibacteriota bacterium
Lineage: Bacteria; Candidatus Moraniibacteriota
Description: Candidatus Moranbacteria bacterium tRNA-Pro
Rfam family: tRNA
About the family: Transfer RNA (tRNA) molecules are approximately 80 nucleotides in length. Their secondary structure includes four short double-helical elements and three loops (D, anti-codon, and T loops).
Source: RNAcentral